AACGAACGCUGGCGGCAGGCCUAACACAUGCAAGUCGAACGCUCCGCAAGGGGAGUGGCGCACGGGUGAGUAACACGUGGGAACCUACCUUCUGGUACGGAACAACCAAGGGAAACUCUGGCUGAUACCGUAUACGACCUCCGGGUGAAAGAUUGAUCGCCGGAAGAGGGGCCCGCGUCCGAUUAGGUAGUUGGUGAGGUAACGGCUCACCAAGCCUGCGAUCGGUAGCUGGUCUGAGAGGANGACCAGCCACACUGGGACUGAGACACGGCCCAGACUCCUACGGGAGGCAGCAGUGGGGAAUAUUGGACAAUGGGCGCAAGCCUGAUCCAGCCAUGCCGCGUGAGUGAUGAAGGCCUCGGUUG
Molecule: ribosomal RNA, 365 nt
Filed under: uncultured bacterium
Lineage: Bacteria
Description: bacterial SSU rRNA
Rfam family: Bacterial small subunit ribosomal RNA
Source: RNAcentral